Molecule: transfer RNA, 83 nt
Filed under: Blattella germanica (German cockroach)
Lineage: Eukaryota; Metazoa; Arthropoda; Insecta; Blattodea; Blattellidae
Description: tRNA-Leu (CAA) (tRNA-Leu-CAA-21-1)
Rfam family: tRNA
About the family: Transfer RNA (tRNA) molecules are approximately 80 nucleotides in length. Their secondary structure includes four short double-helical elements and three loops (D, anti-codon, and T loops).
Source: RNAcentral
GUCAAAAUGGCCGAGCGGUCUAAGGCGCCAAACUCAAGUUCUGGUCCUCUAAGAAGGCGUGGGUUCAAAUCCCAUUUCUGACA